RNAcentral lists this long non-coding RNA (1466 nucleotides) under Ictidomys tridecemlineatus (thirteen-lined ground squirrel). Its description in RNAcentral is "lncRNA (ENSSTOG00000030146.1)". Lineage: Eukaryota; Metazoa; Chordata; Mammalia; Rodentia; Sciuridae. The record is from RNAcentral.
CUUAGGCUUCUAAAUGCCUACUUAACCCAAUUUAAUAUAUUAAUAACACAAAAGAACAUUUGGUUAUCUAUUGUUAAUUGAAACUGAAUCUGGGCAGGUGCCGAGUCCCUGCCCUGAGUUCCAUGGCAGACGAGAUCAGCCAGGUGGGGCCAACUGCGGCUCACUGACUCCAGCCUGCAGGGGGAGGGUGGCAAAGACGGGGCGCUUGGAAUCUUUCUUGCUCUCCUUGCAUUCUGUGAAGCCCUCACAUGAAAAUCUUCUCUCCCAGGAGAUUCUUCACCCAGGCUGAUGACAAGGAAGCCCAGGUGACCUGUGAGUGCUGUCAUCCAGCAAUCUGUAGUCUUUUUUUCUUUUUGGAGUUCGUGUGUGCUAGACCAACAACCCCCCUAUUACCAGAGGACCGGUGGCCAUUCACAGAAGGACGAGACCACAGGUGGAAGGAAGAUGCUCAACGUCUCCCCAGGUGGGGGUCUUCUGGCUGUCCUGUGCACAGUACUGAAGGAAGCAUCACAUUUAAAGAGGAGAGAGGUGUUUUCCUUUUCCACAAAUUAUAAGAACCCAAAUUUGUUUUUGACUUUUCCUGCUAUAACAAAAAAAUAUCCAGUGUUAUACUAGGUUACUAGGUAGGGGAUAUUUUUGAACACAUGCACACCUGUAAUCUCUCCAUUCCGAGUAAGAUGAACCAUUUUAACCAUGAAGGGAGAAACCAUAUUUUUAGAACUAAGAACACAGGCUGUGGAUAAAUUAUUUGAAAAACAUGUAUUUAGAAAUAUCUUUGUGAUUUUAUUGCCAAAAUCAAUAUAAAAACUCUUGUAUUGAUAUAUUUAUAUACCUUCCAAAUAUAAUUUUUAAUUUCAGAUAUAUAUAUAUAUAUAUAUAUAUAUAUAUAUAUAUAUGUAUAAACCUUUCUGAAUAAAGAUUCCAUGAGUCUCAAACCCAUAGCUUAAGUAGAUUAGACAAAGGGGGACCAAAGGAAGGGAGCGGGGAUGGGACUAGGAAAGCGAGCAGAAUGAAUCUAACAUAAUUUUCCUAUAUUCACAUGUGAAAUUACCUAAAUGAAGCCCACCAUCAUACCCACCCACAAGAAUGGGGUCCUAAUUAGAAUAAGAUAUAUCCUAUGCUUGUGUAAUUUACCCAAAUGGAUUCUACUGUCAUGUACAAUUAAGAAGCACCAUGCUCCCCCUCCCUACCCCAGUAUGAAUCAGCCUCCUUAUAUCAAAGAAAAUAUUCAGCAUUUGGUUUUGAAGGGAGAAGGCAGGGGGUUUUAAAUGAUGGUGGAAUGUGAUGAUCAUUAUUAUCCAAAGUACAGGUGUGAAGACACAAAUUGGUGUGAAUAUACUUUUUAUACAACCAGAGAUAUGAAAAAUUGUGCUUUUUGUGUGUAAUAAGAGUUGUAAUGCAUUCAGCUAUCAUAUAUAAAUAAAAAUUUUAAAAAGAGGAGCCAAUAAAAUUAAAUUAAAAGAAAA